This 425-nucleotide ribosomal RNA is filed under the name uncultured Psychrobacter sp. RNAcentral describes it as "bacterial SSU rRNA". It matches the Rfam family "Bacterial small subunit ribosomal RNA", at positions 354 to 771 of the family's 1533-position model. The record is from RNAcentral. Lineage: Bacteria; Pseudomonadati; Pseudomonadota; Gammaproteobacteria; Moraxellales; Moraxellaceae.
GUGGGGAAUAUUGGACAAUGGGGGCAACCCUGAUCCAGCCAUGCCGCGUGUGUGAAGAAGGCCUUUUGGUUGUAAAGCACUUUAAGCAGUGAAGAAGACUCUAGGGUUAAUACCCCUAGACGAUGACAUUAGCUGCAGAAUAAGCACCGGCUAACUCUGUGCCAGCAGCCGCGGUAAUACAGAGGGUGCAAGCGUUAAUCGGAAUUACUGGGCGUAAAGCGAGCGUAGGUGGCUUGAUAAGUCAGAUGUGAAAUCCCCGGGCUUAACCUGGGAACUGCAUCUGAUACUGUUGAGCUAGAGUAGGUGAGAGGGAAGUAGAAUUCCAGGUGUAGCGGUGAAAUGCGUAGAGAUCUGGAGGAAUACCGAUGGCGAAGGCAGCUUCCUGGCAUCAUACUGACACUGAGGCUCGAAAGCGUGGGUAGCAA